GGGGCUGGAGCUCAGUGGUAGAGCACUUGCCUCGCAAGUAUGAAUUCCUGGGUUCAACCCUCAGCACCA
RNAcentral lists this transfer RNA (69 nucleotides) under Ictidomys tridecemlineatus (thirteen-lined ground squirrel). RNAcentral describes it as "Spermophilus tridecemlineatus (thirteen-lined ground squirrel) tRNA". It matches the Rfam family "tRNA". Rfam says of the family: Transfer RNA (tRNA) molecules are approximately 80 nucleotides in length. Their secondary structure includes four short double-helical elements and three loops (D, anti-codon, and T loops). Further hydrogen bonds mediate the characteristic L-shaped molecular structure. tRNAs have two regions of fundamental functional importance: the anti-codon, which is responsible for specific mRNA codon recognition, and the 3' end, to which the tRNAs corresponding amino acid is attached (by aminoacyl-tRNA synthetases). tRNAs cope with the degeneracy of the genetic code in two manners: having more than one tRNA (with a specific anti-codon) for a particular amino acid; and 'wobble' base-pairing, i.e. permitting non-standard base-pairing at the 3rd anti-codon position. The record is from Rfam by way of RNAcentral. Lineage: Eukaryota; Metazoa; Chordata; Mammalia; Rodentia; Sciuridae.